UGGAUCUCGACAGGGUAGACAUGAGAACACAUGAGUAAUCGACGGCUGUAAUGACGCCACGUAUGUCAUUACUGCAUCUCUGUUUUCAUGUGUUCUCAGGUCACCCCUGCUGAGCUCUU
Molecule: microRNA precursor, 119 nt
Organism: Arabis alpina (gray rockcress)
Lineage: Eukaryota; Viridiplantae; Streptophyta; Magnoliopsida; Brassicales; Brassicaceae
Rfam family: MIR398 microRNA precursor family
Source: Rfam